GGAGAGAAAGCUGGAGGUGCACACAGCGCCUAUGGGCUGUGUUGGGGUUGGGGACCAAAUCGGACUGAGAGCGCUGAGUGGGCGAGGGGCACUUGCAUGCUCACCUGCUGUCAGUGUGGCUACAGAGAGGGCAGGUCUAAAGAACUCUUCUAGGGAAAAUAUGCCGUCAUGGCAGCUGUAGCUAAAGGUACUCAACAGGAACCGAAAAGGUAGCGGAUCUCUCUCCCAGAUGAACCGAAAGCAAGGGGGUAAUUCUAACCCUCGUUACUUCCUUCCACUUUCCUCUCGAGUGGCGUGGCUCACGUUGGAACAUCGUCCCCCGCGGGUCGCAGGUUGGAUUCUGGUCAGGACACAAGCCCAGGGUUGUGGGUUCGAUUCCCAUCGGGCUCGUGAGGGGGGCAAAGGAUCAUCUGUGUUCUCUUUCACAUCACACCAAUGUUUCUCUCUCCCUCUCCCUUCCUUUCCAAAACAACAACUACAACCCACUGAUGGAAAACGUGGGGUGCGUACAGUCUACCUGAGGAAGACCAAACAAUUCAUAGUCCUUAUUGUCAAAAUCACUGACUUGACUCUGCCCUGAAAUCCCAGGAUGGGAAAAUGAAUCUGCUUCCCAGAGAGGUAAGUGAAAAGGCAACUCGGUUCUCAAUAUCUGCUGGGAAUGCAGGAGAGGUGAACACAGAAUCCUGCCAUCUCCAUGAGAACAAGCCCAUUGGAGGAUGAAAGGCCCCAUAGGGCAGAGCUGAGUCAUCACUGCUGAGGCCAUCCUUGACCAGACAGCCCUCAGGAGACUGCAGAGGUACAAGCAAGCCCAAAGGAGAUCGGCCAGGCGUGGUCCAGAUCAGCAGACAUGCCCACCAACGGAAUUUAUUCACCGGAAAUAAUACAUGGUUACUAUGUUAAGUCACCACUUCAGUGAUCUAUUGCUGCAUUAACAACCACCCCAAGAUGAGUAGCCGAAACCACCACCAUUUACUAUUUUUUCAUAAUUCUGUGAGUCAGCCGAACUCAGCUGGGCAUUGGCCGGAGUCACUCACUUGGCACCUGAGCAGGAAGGUCUGAGAAGUCUUCAUUCACACGUCAGGCACCUCAGUCUGCCGCCACAUGACCUCUGCCUCUCCAGGUCACUAGGUUGGGCUUCCUUCCAGCACGUGGUCCUUUCUUCUGGGUGGACAGACUUCCUACCUGGAAGCUGGCUUCCAGGGAGGCACUGGGCACUGCCAGUCUUCUUAAGGACUGAGCUUGGGAGUUCUAGAAUACCCACUUCAUUCUAUUGGACAAAGCAGUCACAAGACCCACCAGACUUAGGCGGAGAGGAAAGAGACUCACACUUUUGGUUUGAGGGGAAGAGUGUAUGUAUAAAAAUAAAAGGGCCCUAUCUCACCUGCUAAGUUUUUUGGGGGGUGGUUAUACCUUUUUUAGCUAAAUUUUUCUAAGCUAUGGGACUUUGGGCUAGUUAUAAAACUUUCCUGGACCUUUCAAUGAAGUGAGGGAGGUUGAGUUUGCAUAUUUAACUUUUUCUUUAGGGACAUCUCAAGGGCAAACCAAAGUCCCAUAGGUAUCCAGAAAGGAGUUGCUAGAGGGAAUUUGUGCAGCAUUGGUCAACUAUGGGUGCUUCUAGUAGGUCAUCUGUAUCUGUUCUUCAACUAGACACAGUCCUCAAGAAUCCACAUGAAAGGCAUGCCUUGUGGCGGGUCCAAGCAGCUUGGCUGGUGGGAGAAGGAGCAGGGGCCAGGCAGCCCAGGCUCCAAAAGACUCAGGGCCCGCCUUGGCCCUCAGGCACCCAGCAAGCACCCCCCAGCAGCCACCCUCCCCGAGAGGAUGGCCAGCACCACACCACAGAGGGCACGUGAAGAGAUCCAUGGGUUGUCAGCUAUACCUGCUCCUGCAAAAGUGGAAAUGAAGAAAAAAAAAUUUUUUUAAAGGCAGCAGGAAAGGAUAAAUCUGCAGAUAAAAAAGUACAAACAAAGGGAAAACAGACUGAAGUGGCCGACCAAGAACUUAAAGAUCUACCUGCGGAAAAUGGAGAAACUAAAAAUGAGAAUCCAGCCUCGGAUGUAGCAGCAGAGAAAGAAGCCAAGUCUGAUUAGUAUCAUAUUAAUAAUAUUAGUUAUAAGACAUAUAAUACCAUGACUUAUCAGUGGUUCUUGUCUCCCUUCCUAUGCAAUCCAGAGAAAUAUUUUUAUCAACUAUUUUGUAGUGUAAAUACUUUUUUAAAAGAGGAAAUAAUUUGUUGAUUGUUUAUUUUAUUUAUUUAUUUAUUUAUUUAUUUAUUUAUUUAUUUUAUUUAUUUUUUUGUACAACCAGAAAAUAGUGGGAUGUUGAAUAUGGGAGGCUUUGUCUUAACAUUCCAUAAUUGGGGGUCAUUUCUAUAUCCUAUCAUACAAAGCAUACUAAAUGGCAAUAUGGCAUCCAUUGUGUAUUUCAUGUGUCUUGAACAUUUUAAAUUACUUCUGUUCCCAUGUUUUUGGAGGUAUUGUUUCCUAAAGAAAACCCCUCCUCAACCUUGGCUCUUCUUGUCAGAAUUUUGUGCAUCUGUGACAGCUCUGGUGAGGCAGUCCAGUUUCCCUGGUAACUUUGUUAAUGUGAAAGAUUGAACGUUUCAUCAUGUAGCAUAUAUGAUAUUACAUUGCAAAUUAGUGGGACUUUGAUGUUAUAGCAUAUCAACGUUUGAAGAUAUAGGCACUUGGUACUCCAUUAAGGAAAAUUAACCUCCACAUUUUAAGCUGAAAAUUCACUGGAAUAACUGUUUAGAAAAAAAUCACAACUAUGUAACCUUUAAGUUUUUGGUACAUAUGCUAAGAAUUAUGUACAAAUUGAAAUGUCUGUAUUUAUGCUCAAAGGAAUUGAUAAAAUGUCAAUUAUGAAAGAAAAAAAAAAAGGCAUGCAUUGCCUCCACAGAUGUGAAACAGAAGGAGAGGCUGCCUUCUCCACAGCCCCUGAAUGACCACCUUCCAUCACACUGUCUUCUCUUUCUGGAAACUUGAUUUCCAAGCAGACAUGAAAAGCCACUGCUCAGCUGCCUCCCCUGUAUACCUCUGUGAACCCCUAUAUAUACCUGAAAUGAGAUGCUCAUUUCAGAGGACUCUGUGUCCUCUGAUUUCAGUUUUGCUCUUUAGGUUAGCAAGGCUUGAAACCCUCAUCCUACUGCCUUCCUUCUUUUUCCCUGUACCAUCUUCCUUUCUGCUAGCUUUUCUUUUCUUUGCUGCAUCUUUUCUUUCUUAAUCCUUUA
Long non-coding RNA from Pipistrellus kuhlii (Kuhl's pipistrelle), 3229 nucleotides. RefSeq lists it as uncharacterized. The record is from RefSeq and is a predicted model, not a curated record. NCBI's taxonomy places the organism in Eukaryota, Metazoa, Chordata, Mammalia, Chiroptera, Vespertilionidae. The transcript is spliced from 3 exons.